CCUACGGGCGGCAGCAGUGGGGAAUAUUGGACAAUGGGGGGAACCCUGAUCCAGCCAUACCGCGUGUGUGAAGAAGGCCCUCGGGUUGUAAAGCACUUUCAGUGAGGAAGAACGCCUGGUGGUUAAUACCCAUCAGGAAAGACAUCACUCACAGAAGAAGCACCGGCUAACUCCGUGCCAGCAGCCGCGGUAAUACGGAGGGUGCGAGCGUUAAUCGGAAUUACUGGGCGUAAAGCGCGCGUAGGUGGCUUGAUAAGCCGGUUGUGAAAGCCCCGGGCUCAACCUGGGAACGGCAUCCGGAACUGUCAAGCUAGAGUGCAGGAGAGGAAGGUAGAAUUCCCGGUGUAGCGGUGAAAUGCGUAGAGAUCGGGAGGAAUACCAGUGGCGAAGGCGGCCUUCUGGACUGACACUGACACUGAGGUGCGAAAGCGUGGGUAGCAAACAGGAUUAGAUACCCUUGUAGUC
This 465-nucleotide ribosomal RNA is filed under the name Vreelandella stevensii. RNAcentral describes it as "partial 16S ribosomal RNA". It matches the Rfam family "Bacterial small subunit ribosomal RNA", at positions 338 to 795 of the family's 1533-position model. The record is from RNAcentral. Lineage: Bacteria; Pseudomonadati; Pseudomonadota; Gammaproteobacteria; Oceanospirillales; Halomonadaceae.